GUCUUUCCUGGUCAUAUUCUGAUCAUCUGCAGGCUGCCUCCACCUAUUCCUACGGCGUGAGAACCUCCGUCUGAGGCAGCUGAAAGCAAAAGUGAGAGGGAGCCAGUCCUUGGUGCUGGCUUACAGGUGUAUUAUUGGACAGGCAGCCAUCUCCAUUAAAAGGCUUCUCAAGACCUACAUCCCAUCUUGCCCCCGUUGGUCAGCAAGCAAGCACCACUAGGAGCUCCGUCCUCCAUGUGAGAAGUAUCACUCCAGAUGGUUCUCUUGUGGGAUUCCCGAUGGUGGAAUGAGAUGCUGAACCAUGUCUGGUCAUCAGACUCCCUCUCUACCUUCAAAAAAUGCCUCAAGACCCAUCUGCUCCAUGAAUGCCUCUCCUAACCUGAUUGUUCUGUGCUGUUAUGUUGCAUUUAUUGGGUGUUCAAUAGUCUCAUUAAGUUCUUGGGUAUUCAAUAGUCUCAUUAAUUUCUUGCUUUGUUAAUAGUUAUGUGCAGUUGUACUGCUGUUGUGUAGCUCCUGCUCCAGCACCGCUUACACUUGUACAGCCUGCAAAGUGUAAAAUUCAAAGUCAGGUGUAAGUAACAGCUGAAACAAACACGUUCACACUGGGAGUAGACCUGUAUCACGGCCCCCCCGAGCCUCACCAUUCAUAAGCAAUAACCACCCCCCACUCCCCACACUGUCAGCAGUCUGUUACUCCCAACAGCCGCAAAAUUACAACAACAAGCACCAAGAUUGCUUAAAUAAAUAAAAAAAACAGGUUAGAACUCAUUAAUAACCACAACAACUAAAAAAAACCACAACAUGACCACAUAAACAGAGCAUUACUAUGCACUUUCUGAAAAUGAGGAUACAAGUUAACUCCCAUUUUUUGCAAAGACAUUGAUUACAGGCUAAAUAAUAGAUUUCUACAUAAAAGGCAAUUAUGUACCGGAACACAAUGCACCGAGCAAAAAAAGGUACACGUACGUACAAAGGAUGCUGGUUAUUCUAUGAAAACAGGUUCGUUCAAAACAAUCCUUUCAGAAAUCUGUCCUUGCAACAAUGUAAACAAUGUGACAUUCUUUCUUGUAGUGUGAUCAACUUAGUAGUUUCUCUGUUCUGAGCGAUAUUGUAGCAACUCAUUUCAUUUUUAAACCUUCUACGCAGCUUAUUUAGUUUGUUGUUAUUUAUUAACUACCAAACAACGCAGUAACUUGCAAAGAGAGCAAUAAAUAUUCGCAUUUGCAUACCACA
This is a non-coding RNA of Paramormyrops kingsleyae, 1233 nucleotides long. The record is from RefSeq and is a predicted model, not a curated record. Lineage: Eukaryota; Metazoa; Chordata; Actinopteri; Osteoglossiformes; Mormyridae.